This 89-nucleotide transfer RNA is filed under the name Sutterella seckii. RNAcentral's name for it is "tRNA-Leu". It matches the Rfam family "tRNA". From Rfam's summary of the family: Transfer RNA (tRNA) molecules are approximately 80 nucleotides in length. Their secondary structure includes four short double-helical elements and three loops (D, anti-codon, and T loops). Further hydrogen bonds mediate the characteristic L-shaped molecular structure. tRNAs have two regions of fundamental functional importance: the anti-codon, which is responsible for specific mRNA codon recognition, and the 3' end, to which the tRNAs corresponding amino acid is attached (by aminoacyl-tRNA synthetases). tRNAs cope with the degeneracy of the genetic code in two manners: having more than one tRNA (with a specific anti-codon) for a particular amino acid; and 'wobble' base-pairing, i.e. permitting non-standard base-pairing at the 3rd anti-codon position. RNAcentral also lists the same sequence under 1 other name. The record is from RNAcentral. Lineage: Bacteria; Pseudomonadati; Pseudomonadota; Betaproteobacteria; Burkholderiales; Sutterellaceae.
GCCGGAGUGACGAAAUUGGUAGACGUAGCGGACUUAAAAUCCGCCGCCCGCUUCAGGGCGUACGGGUUCGAUUCCCGUCUCCGGCACCA